Molecule: transfer RNA, 74 nt
Filed under: Marmota monax (woodchuck)
Lineage: Eukaryota; Metazoa; Chordata; Mammalia; Rodentia; Sciuridae
Description: tRNA.Ala
Source: RNAcentral
GCUGAGGAUGUGGCUCAGUGGUACACUGCUUGCCUAGCUUGCAUGAGGUCCUGGGUUUAAUUCCAAGUACAGCA